RNAcentral lists this unclassified non-coding RNA (318 nucleotides) under Poseidonocella sedimentorum. Its description in RNAcentral is "Nuclear RNase P". The record is from RNAcentral. Lineage: Bacteria; Pseudomonadati; Pseudomonadota; Alphaproteobacteria; Rhodobacterales; Roseobacteraceae.
UUGAGUGUAAACUCUUUCAAGAUUGUCUGACACUUUUCACGCCUCCUGGGAAGGUCUGAGAAAGGCCAAGCUACCGCUCAAGACCUCACUUCAGUGGCGCGCACCUCUUCACAAUGUUCAAACGAGCCGUGAUCCGUGAUGUCAGUCGCGCUGGCCGUUGAACGGUUCGGUUCUGGCGAUAGCGCCAGCAUCCAGUAGCGGCUGCCCCCUAUUGGCAUCCGUGAAGUUGGGAAAGGACACCAAAUGCUUGGAAAAUGGCCAUCUGGACGAGCCAAAUGGCCAAAAUUUGGUGGUUAAUUCAACUUCACGCGCGCUCCA